AAUAUUUAUAUUGUUUCAAUGAGUGCAUCACAAUAGUAAAGGCAGGCAAUGUUACCUGGCGCCCUAUAGGUCCUGAUGGAAGAGAAAAACUAACAUCCUCUCUACUUAGACAGCAGGUGGCAGCCCAUGCAAACCAAAAAGCUGUCAUGCCUGCAGUCUUGAGUGCACAUCUACAUUUACAUCACCAUCAGGGGAGGAGGAGCCUCUCUGAGUGAGAGUAAUGCUGGGUUAAGACAAUACAGGCGACCGACCGGAGGACGCGCAGCAUGGCAUCUCUGCACCACUACAGAGACUCUGCACAUGACAUUGCCAAUGUGAUGCAGAGGCUGCAAGGGAUCCCAACGAUGGAGAUGGAACAUCCUGCAACUGCCCUGGCAGAUCCUCCCCUUGAGGGAAGAGAAAAAAAAAAAGGACAUCACAGACACCCUGACACACAAGGUCACUACCCCAGCAGCUGGCCGACUUGCAGCACUGCAGAGUACUCUGCAGCGCACCGACCUGCCACAAUAGACGCGGGGACCAGACCCAGGAGGCCCCAACCAAGAUGGGCAUCCGGAAGGGGUGGACGGUAGGCCACAGACACCCCAGACAUGCAGCCUGGCUGCAGUAGCCUGAGGACAAGCAGACCCCGAGAGCCCCCCACCCCCCCACCCCCAAAAAAAAAGAUUUAUUAGACUUAUGUAUACAUACAUACACAUAUAUUAAGAUUAAGA
This is a long non-coding RNA of Entelurus aequoreus (snake pipefish), 713 nucleotides long. RefSeq lists it as uncharacterized. The transcript is spliced from 3 exons. NCBI's taxonomy places the organism in Eukaryota, Metazoa, Chordata, Actinopteri, Syngnathiformes, Syngnathidae. The record is from RefSeq and is a predicted model, not a curated record.